This is a long non-coding RNA of Tympanuchus pallidicinctus (lesser prairie-chicken), 590 nucleotides long. RefSeq lists it as uncharacterized. The record is from RefSeq and is a predicted model, not a curated record. NCBI's taxonomy places the organism in Eukaryota, Metazoa, Chordata, Aves, Galliformes, Phasianidae. The transcript has 4 exons.
ACGGCACGGUUGCGGCCAAUCGGCGUCGGGCACGGUGCGCCUGCGUACUGCGCGCUCGAGCGGCCGAGCGGAGCCUCGGCGCUGCGGCGGAGCACGACAUGGAGCCGGGAUACGGCGGUUAUGGCUCCUGGAGUACUGGAGCCGCCAACACACAAGGUACCUACGCAGCGGGUGCGACAAGCUGGCAAGGCAUGGCGGCAAAGGAGAACUACGAGGGGUCCUCGUGGCAGAGCUGGCAGUCCCACUACGAGAGCCCCAGGCCGGACAUGGGGAAGGCUGCACAAGGUCAGAGGUCCCUUCAAACCCAAACCAUUCUGUGACCCUCAAGGACCCUUCCUCUCCAAACCAUUCUAUCACUCUAUGGUUCUGUAAUGCUUAAGGACCUUUACAACCCAUCCAUUUUGUGAUUUCAUGGUUCUGUGACUUUUAAGGACCUUCCGACCUAUUUCAUCAUGCCAUGAUCUCAAAGGACCCUUCCAACACAAGCUGUCCUAUGCUGAUGGAAUUUUUCAACCAAACCAGUUCCAAGAUUCCAUGGUUCUGUGACCUAUAAGGACACAUUACCACUCAGGCAUUUUUAGGGUUGUGUG